RNAcentral lists this ribosomal RNA (1706 nucleotides) under Campylobacter jejuni. RNAcentral's name for it is "partial 23S ribosomal RNA". It matches the Rfam family "Bacterial large subunit ribosomal RNA", at positions 1 to 1582 of the family's 2925-position model. The record is from RNAcentral. Lineage: Bacteria; Pseudomonadati; Campylobacterota; Epsilonproteobacteria; Campylobacterales; Campylobacteraceae.
AAAAAAGGUAAGCUACUAAGAGCGAAUGGUGGAUGCCUUGACUGGUAAAGGCGAUGAAGGACGUACUAGACUGCGAUAAGCUACGGGGAGCUGUCAAGAAGCUUUGAUCCGUAGAUUUCCGAAUGGGGCAACCCAAUGUAUAGAGAUAUACAUUACCUAUAUAGGAGCGAACGAGGGGAAUUGAAACAUCUUAGUACCCUCAGGAAAAGAAAUCAAUAGAGAUUGCGUCAGUAGCGGCGAGCGAAAGCGCAAGAGGGCAAACCCAGUGCUUGCACUGGGGGUUGUAGGACUGCAAUGUGCAAGAGCUGAGUUUAGCAGAACAUUCUGGAAAGUAUAGCCAUAGAGGGUGAUAGUCCCGUAUGCGAAAAACAAAGCUUAGCUAGCAGUAUCCUGAGUAGGGCGGGACACGAGGAAUCCUGUCUGAAUCCGGGUCGACCACGAUCCAACCCUAAAUACUAAUACCAGAUCGAUAGUGCACAAGUACCGUGAGGGAAAGGUGAAAAGAACUGAGGUGAUCAGAGUGAAAUAGAACCUGAAACCAUUUGCUUACAAUCAUUCAGAGCACUAUGUAGCAAUACAGUGUGAUGGACUGCCUUUUGCAUAAUGAGCCUGCGAGUUGUGGUGUCUGGCAAGGUUAAGCAAACGCGAAGCCGUAGCGAAAGCGAGUCUGAAUAGGGCGCUUAGUCAGAUGCUGCAGACCCGAAACGAAGUGAUCUAUCCAUGAGCAAGUUGAAGCUAGUGUAAGAACUAGUGGAGGACUGAACCCAUAGGCGUUGAAAAGCCCCGGGAUGACUUGUGGAUAGGGGUGAAAGGCCAAUCAAACUUCGUGAUAGCUGGUUCUCUCCGAAAUAUAUUUAGGUAUAGCGUUGUGUCGUAAUAUAAGGGGGUAGAGCACUGAAUGGGCUAGGGCAUACACCAAUGUACCAAACCCUAUCAAACUCCGAAUACCUUAUAUGUAAUCACAGCAGUCAGGCGGCGAGUGAUAAAAUCCGUCGUCAAGAGGGAAACAACCCAGACUACCAGCUAAGGUCCCUAAAUCUUACUUAAGUGGAAAACGAUGUGAAGUUACUUAAACAACCAGGAGGUUGGCUUAGAAGCAGCCAUCCUUUAAAGAAAGCGUAAUAGCUCACUGGUCUAGUGAUUUUGCGCGGAAAAUAUAACGGGGCUAAAGUAAGUACCGAAGCUGUAGACUUGCGCACAACUUAGAUUAUUUAAGUUUAGAAUAUGAGAAACUAAGUUAUGUUUAGUUAUAUUUUUACUGAUUUUUAUAGAGUAAAGAUAGAAAUAAAACUUAGUAAAAUCAGUAAAAAUAUUCUUAGGCUAAAGUUAAGUAGUUUAAGUUGUGUGCAAGUGGUAGGAGAGCGUUCUAUUUGCGUCGAAGGUAUACCGGUAAGGAGUGCUGGAGCGAAUAGAAGUGAGCAUGCAGGCAUGAGUAGCGAUAAUUAAUGUGAGAAUCAUUAACGCCGUAAACCCAAGGUUUCCUACGCGAUGCUCGUCAUCGUAGGGUUAGUCGGGUCCUAAGUCGAGUCCGAAAGGGGUAGACGAUGGCAAAUUGGUUAAUAUUCCAAUACCAACAUUAGUGUGCGAUGGAAGGACGCUUAGGGCUAAGGGGGCUAGCGGAUGGAAGUGCUAGUCUAAGGUCGUAGGAGGUUAUACAGGCAAAUCCGUAUAACAAUACUCCGAGAACUGAAAGGCUUUUUGAAGUC